RNAcentral lists this ribosomal RNA (433 nucleotides) under uncultured bacterium. RNAcentral describes it as "partial 16S ribosomal RNA". It matches the Rfam family "Bacterial small subunit ribosomal RNA", at positions 29 to 507 of the family's 1533-position model. The record is from RNAcentral.
AACGAACGCUGGCGGCAGGCCUAACACAUGCAAGUCGAGCGGACCCUUCGGGGUUAGCGGCGGACGGGUGAGUAACGCGUGGGAAUAUGCCCUUCUCUACGGAAUAGUCCUGGGAAACUGGGGGUAAUACCGUAUACGCCCUUUGGGGGAAAGAUUUAUCGGGGAAGGAUUAGCCCGCGUUGGAUUAGGUAGUUGGUGGGGUAAUGGCCUACCAAGCCGACGAUCCAUAGCUGGUUUGAGAGGAUGAUCAGCCACACUGGGACUGAGACACGGCCCAGACUCCUACGGGAGGCAGCAGUGGGGAAUCUUAGACAAUGGGGGCAACCCUGAUCUAGCCAUGCCGCGUGAGUGAUGAAGGCCUUAGGGUUGUAAAGCUCUUUCAGCUGGGAAGAUAAUGACGGUACCAGCAGAAGAAGCCCCGGCUAGCUCCGUG